This 683-nucleotide ribosomal RNA is filed under the name uncultured Nitrososphaerota archaeon. RNAcentral describes it as "bacterial SSU rRNA". It matches the Rfam family "Archaeal small subunit ribosomal RNA", at positions 78 to 764 of the family's 1478-position model. The record is from RNAcentral. Lineage: Archaea; Thermoproteati; Nitrososphaerota.
GUGGCAUACGGCUCAGUAACACGUAGUCAACAUGCCCAGGGGACGUGGAUAACCUCGGGAAACUGAGGAUAAACCGCGAUAGGUCAUCACUUCUGGAAUGGGUAAUGACUUAAACCUAUAUGGCCCCUGGAUUGGACUGCGGCCGAUCAGGCUGUUGGUGAGGUAAUGGCCCACCAAACCUGUAACCGGUACGGGCUCUGAGAGGAGGAGCCCGGAGAUGGGCACUGAGACAAGGGCCCAGGCCCUAUGGGGCGCAGCAGGCGCGAAACCUCUGCAAUAGGCGAAAGCUUGACAGGGUUACUCUGAGUGAUUUCCGUUAAGGAGAUCUUUUGGCACCUCUAAAAAUGGUGCAGAAUAAGGGGUGGGCAAGUCUGGUGUCAGCCGCCGCGGUAAUACCAGCACCCCGAGUGGUCGGGACGUUUAUUGGGCCUAAAGCAUCCGUAGCCGGUUCUACAAGUCUUCCGUUAAAUCCACCUGCUUAACAGAUGGGCUGCGGAAGAUACUAUAGAGCUAGGAGGCGGGAGAGGCAAGCGGUACUCGAUGGGUAGGGGUAAAAUCCGUUGAUCCAUUGAAGACCACCAGUGGCGAAGGCGGCUUGCCAGAACGCGCUCGACGGUGAGGGAUGAAAGCUGGGGGAGCAAACCGGAUUAGAUACCCGGGUAGUCCCAGCUGUAAACGAUGCA